CCUACGGGUGGCAGCAGUGAGGAAUAUUGGUCAAUGGACGAGAGUCUGAACCAGCCAAGUAGCGUGAAGGAUGACUGCCCUAUGGGUUGUAAACUUCUUUUAUCUGGGAAUAAAAUGUUCCACGUGUGGGCUUUUGUAUGUACCAUAUGAAUAAGGAUCGGCUAACUCCGUGCCAGCAGCCGCGGUAAUACGGAGGAUCCGAGCGUUAUCCGGAUUUAUUGGGUUUAAAGGGAGCGUAUGUGGAUUGUUAAGUCAGUGGUGAAAGUUUGCGGCUCAACCGUAAAAUUGCAGUUGAAACUGGCAGUCUUGAGUACAGUAGAGGUGGGCGGAAUUCGUGGUGUAGCGGUGAAAUGCUUAGAUAUCACGAAGAACUCCGAUUGCGAAGGCAGCUCACUGGACUGCAACUGACACUGAGGCUCGAAAGUGUGGGUAUCAAACAGGAUUAGAUACCCCAGUAGUC
Molecule: ribosomal RNA, 460 nt
Filed under: uncultured bacterium
Lineage: Bacteria
Description: partial 16S ribosomal RNA
Rfam family: Bacterial small subunit ribosomal RNA
Source: RNAcentral